RNAcentral lists this ribosomal RNA (216 nucleotides) under Triticum aestivum (bread wheat). RNAcentral describes it as "partial small subunit ribosomal RNA". Lineage: Eukaryota; Viridiplantae; Streptophyta; Magnoliopsida; Poales; Poaceae. The record is from RNAcentral.
AUGACAAAACCCAAGAGAGCCGGGGGUAUUGGAUUCAGAGACAUGCAUUUGUUCAACCAAGCACUUUUGGCCAAACAAGCAUGGAGGCUCCUACAAAACCCGGAUAGCCUUUGUGCGAGAGUCAUGAAGUCUAAGUACUACCCAAAUGGGAGUUUGUUGGAUAUGGUGUUUGCAAGCGACGCCUCUCCGGUUUGGAGAGCCAUUGAAUUCGGCUUG